This 383-nucleotide ribosomal RNA is filed under the name uncultured archaeon. RNAcentral describes it as "bacterial SSU rRNA". It matches the Rfam family "Archaeal small subunit ribosomal RNA", at positions 345 to 728 of the family's 1478-position model. The record is from RNAcentral.
AACCUCCGCAAUGUGAGAAAUCGCGACGGGGGGAUCCCAAGUGCCAUUCUUAACGGGAUGGCUUUUCUUAAGUGUAAAAAGCUUUUGGAAUAAGAGCUGGGCAAGACCGGUGCCAGCCGCCGCGGUAACACCGGCAGCUCUAGUGGUAGCUGUUUUUAUUGGGCCUAAAGCGUUCGUAGCCGGUUUGAUAAGUCACUGGUGAAAUCCUGUAGCUUAACUGUGGGAAUUGCUGGUGAUACUGUUGAACUUGAGGUCGGGAGAGGUUAGCGGUACUCCCAGGGUAGAGGUGAAAUUCUGUAAUCCUGGGAGGACCACCUGUGGCGAAGGCGGCUAACUGGAACGAACCUGACGGUGAGGGACGAAAGCUAGGGGCGCGAACCGGA